GUAAAGCACUUUCAGUCGUGAGGAAGGCGGCGUCGUUAAUAGCGGCGUGUUUGACGUUAGUGACAGAAGAAGCACCGGCUAACUCCGUGCCAGCAGCCGCGGUAAUACGGAGGGUGCGAGCGUUAAUCGGAAUUACUGGGCGUAAAGCGCAUGCAGGUGGUUUGUUAAGUUCAGAUGUGAAAGACCCGGGGCGUUAACCUCGGAAUAGCAUUUGAAACUAGGCAGACUAGAGUACUGUAGAGGGGGGUAGGAAUUUCAGGUGUAGCGGUGAAAUAGCGUAGAGAUCUGAAGGAAUACCGGUGGCGAAGGCGGCCCCCUCGGACAGAUACUGACACUCAGAUGCGAAAGCGUGGGGAGCAAACAGGAUUAGAUACCCUGGUAG
Molecule: ribosomal RNA, 382 nt
Filed under: uncultured bacterium
Lineage: Bacteria
Description: bacterial SSU rRNA
Rfam family: Bacterial small subunit ribosomal RNA
Source: RNAcentral